This 576-nucleotide ribosomal RNA is filed under the name Notemigonus crysoleucas (golden shiner). RNAcentral's name for it is "partial large subunit ribosomal RNA". It matches the Rfam family "Bacterial large subunit ribosomal RNA", at positions 1816 to 2597 of the family's 2925-position model. Lineage: Eukaryota; Metazoa; Chordata; Actinopteri; Cypriniformes; Leuciscidae. The record is from RNAcentral.
CGCCUCCUGCAACUACAUUGAGUAUAGGAGGUCCAGCCUGCCCAGUGACUACGGGUUCAACGGCCGCGGUAUUUUGACCGUGCAAAGGUAGCGCAAUCACUUGUCUCUUAAAUAGAGACCUGUAUGAAUGGCUAGACGAGGGCUUAACUGUCUCCCCCCUCCAGUCAGUGAAAUUGAUCUAUCCGUGCAGAAGCGGGUUUAACUAUACAAGACGAGAAGACCCUUUGGAGCUUAAGGUACAAAGUUCAACCACGUUAAACGACUCCACAAAAAGCAAGAACUUAGUGGCGAGUGAAAUUUUACCUUCGGUUGGGGCGACCACGGAGGAGAAAAAAGCCUCCGAGUGGACUGGGCCAAAUCCCAAAGCCAAUAGAUACAUCUAUAAGCCACAGAACAUCUGACCAAUAAUGAUCCGGCUGAAAAGCCGAUCAACGAACCAAGUUACCCUAGGGAUAACAGCGCAAUCCUCUCCCAGAGUCCAUAUCGACGAGGGGGUUUACGACCUCGAUGUUGGAUCAGGACAUCCUAAUGGUGCAGCCGCUAUUAAGGGUUCGUUUGUUCAACGAUUAAAGUCCU